RNAcentral lists this transfer RNA (69 nucleotides) under Anolis fuscoauratus. Its description in RNAcentral is "tRNA-Tyr". The record is from RNAcentral. Lineage: Eukaryota; Metazoa; Chordata; Lepidosauria; Squamata; Anolidae.
GAUAAAGAAAGGAAUUAAACCAAUGUGUACAGGACUACAGCCUGCCGCCUAACACUCGGCCACUUUACC